GAUGAACGCUGGCGGCGUGCCUAAUACAUGCAAGUCGAGCGGACAGACGAGGAGCUUGCUCCUCUGACGUUAGCGGCGGACGGGUGAGUAACACGUGGAUAACCUACCUAUAAGACUGGGAUAACUUCGGGAAACCGGAGCUAAUACCGGAUAAUAUAUUGAACCGCAUGGUUCAAUAGUGAAAGACGGUUUUGCUGUCACUUAUAGAUGGAUCCGCGCCGCAUUAGCUAGUUGGUAAGGUAACGGCUUACCAAGGCAACGAUGCGUAGCCGACCUGAGAGGGUGAUCGGCCACACCGGAACUGAGACACCGACCAGCCUCCUACGGGAGGCAGCAGUGGGGUAGCUUACAGUAUGAGCGAAAGCCUGACGGAGCAACACCGCGUAGGUGAGGGAGGUCUUCGGAUCGUAAUACUCUGUUAUUAGGGAAGAACCAAUGUGUAAGUAACUAUGCACGUCUUGACGGUACCUAAUCAGAAAGCCACGGCUAACUACGUG
This 497-nucleotide ribosomal RNA is filed under the name uncultured bacterium. RNAcentral describes it as "partial 16S ribosomal RNA". It matches the Rfam family "Bacterial small subunit ribosomal RNA", at positions 28 to 507 of the family's 1533-position model. The record is from RNAcentral.